This 213-nucleotide long non-coding RNA is filed under the name Mytilus galloprovincialis (Mediterranean mussel). Lineage: Eukaryota; Metazoa; Mollusca; Bivalvia; Mytilida; Mytilidae. The record is from RNAcentral.
UGGUUUAAGGAUGCACUUAGGUGAGGUUAGGUAAAAAUUAAGAAAUUAAGAAAUUAAAAUUGAUACUAUAAGCUGGUAGAGCAUCAAUUAAGGAUAAAGAUAAGCUAAAAAUAUUGAUAGGUCAUGGACCUCCUUUUCGAGAUAAUUGAGAUUUAAAAUAUGGCGGGAAAAGGCUGACUCGGACUUUUACCUUAUAUUUGCAUUGAUAUUAUU